UGGGGAAUAUUGCACAAUGGGCGCAAGCCUGAUGCAGCCAUGCCGCGUGUAAGAAGGCCUUCGGGUUGUAAAGUACUUUCAGCGAGGAGGAAGGCGUUGUGGUUAAUAACCGCAACGAUUGACGUUACUCGCAGAAGAAGCACCGGCUAACUCCGUGCCAGCAGCCGCGGUAAUACGGAGGGUGCAAGCGUUAAUCGGAAUUACUGGGCGUAAAGCGCACGCAGGCGGUCUGUCAAGUCGGAUGUGAAAUCCCCGGGCUCAACCUGGGAACUGCAUCCGAAACUGGCAGGCUAGAGUCUUGUAGAGGGGGGUAGAAUUCCAGGUGUAGCGGUGAAAUGCGUAGAGAUCUGGAGGAAUACCGGUGGCGAAGGCGGCCCCCUGGACAAAGACUGACGCUCAGGUGCGAAAGCGUGGGGAGCAAACA
RNAcentral lists this ribosomal RNA (424 nucleotides) under uncultured bacterium. RNAcentral's name for it is "partial 16S ribosomal RNA". It matches the Rfam family "Bacterial small subunit ribosomal RNA", at positions 355 to 774 of the family's 1533-position model. The record is from RNAcentral.